Molecule: long non-coding RNA, 703 nt
Organism: Capsella rubella
Lineage: Eukaryota; Viridiplantae; Streptophyta; Magnoliopsida; Brassicales; Brassicaceae
Exons: 3
Source: RefSeq, a predicted model, not a curated record
CGUCGUCCUCUGAAUGAAUCUAUCUCCUUCAUCUUUCUUACGUCUCCCUUGAAACGAUCGGACUGUCGUCGUUUGACGAUCAACGUACACGGAGGAAGCAAGAAGCAAAUCAAGAAAGAACUAAUCUCUUCCUUAAUCAGAAUUACACGUGUCAACAUCUCAUGCCACCUUUUCAUUUACACGAAAAGGCGGGAACACCUAGGGGAGGCUAUAUGCGCUAAUAUGACCUUUGCUAUUACGAAUGUGAGAAUAUUUGUUAUAUACAUUUUCUCGGAUCUGCUCUGAUUUUCAUGCAUAAAUUUUAUUUUGAAAUGUUUAUUCUUUUGGUUGUAUCACAUGUUUUUCCUUUUUCUGCAAAAGAAAAAUCAGAACGCAGGUGAAUUACCAUUUGCGUAGUUUCAGGGUGGUAUACUGACCUGAAAAGUAUUGAACGUUCCAAACCAAACUCUUUUCAGUGGGCGAUUGCAUACUUUUGUUAUACAGACACACACAAAAAAACGAAACUGACUAUGUAAAUGAAAUUUUCUUAACUUUUCUAUUUGCAUUUUCAUUUGUUCUAUGAUUUUAAUAGAACAUCAAACAUUUUGAUUGUAUGUGGUGAGUAUGCUGCACAUUUACUAAUUACAUUAUCCACAUUGUCUUAAUCACCAUAACCGUUUAUUUGUUUUUGUUUUUAAUUGAGAACACUAUCAAUACAAAAGUA